GAAUGUUACAAGUUCCCGAAAGGAUUUAUUUAGCGCUGGUUGAGAGCAUAUGUGAUGCUUCGAUCACCUAAAUAAAGAUGCCUUGUAACCGAAUAUAACUAGGGGGAAUACAUUAUG
Non-coding RNA from Enterococcus sp., 117 nucleotides. The record is from Rfam. Lineage: Bacteria; Bacillati; Bacillota; Bacilli; Lactobacillales; Enterococcaceae.